Non-coding RNA from Odocoileus virginianus texanus, 5685 nucleotides. Lineage: Eukaryota; Metazoa; Chordata; Mammalia; Artiodactyla; Cervidae. The record is from RefSeq and is a predicted model, not a curated record.
GCCCCCGCGGCCCCGGCGGAGGUGGGAGCCGGAGAGGGAAGGGUCCGCCCUGGCUAGGCGUCCUCGGUGUAUCUCCUCGCGCUCCUUCCGGUACUCGUCUCUCUCCGCUCCCUGUACUGCAGCUACAGCCCGCUCAUCACUUGUCUCUUUCGAUCAAGAGCAAUGUUCGAGGAUUUCGUUUUCCUCUAGCGUUUCAGUCUCCGAGGGCCGGCCCCAUGUUCCAUUUUUCCUCGGGGGACCACGCUGCCAAGUUCAAAAAAAUGGCCAAAAGAAUCGCCGAGAAGGAAUUGACAGAUAGGAACUGGGAUCAAGAAGACGAAGCAGAAGAGGUGGGAACAUUUUCGGUGGCCAGUGAGGAGGUCUUGAAGAAUAGAGCCAUAAAGAAAGCAAAGCGUAGAAAUGUUGGAUUCGAAUCUGAUGGUGGAGGCGCCUUUAAAGGAUUUAAAGGUUUGGUUGCAUCUUCUGGAGGAGGAGGGUUUUCUGGAUUUGGUAAUGGUGCUGGAGGGAAGCCUCUGGAAGGACUGUCGAAUGGAAACAGCAUAACUAGUGCCCCUUCCUUCUCCAGCACGAGGGCAGCAACUGAGACCAAGGCCACCUUCGGAUCAACUGCUAUGAACGGCCCUACCUCCUUGGUCGAUAAAAAGAUUUCAACCCCUAAAACUACCGGUGACAGUCAGCAGCCUCCCUCCUCUGGUGCUGCCCGCCAUGGGAACGCCUAUCACAAGCAGCUGGCGGCCUUAAACCGCUCUGUGCGGGAUUGGAUCGUGAAGCAUGUGGACACAAACCCGCUCUGCGACCUCACGCCGAUCUUCAAAGACUACGAGAAGUACUUGGCAAGCAUCGAACAGCAACACGGGAGCAGCGGCAACAGUGAUUCCGAAAGUGAAGCCAGCAAAAUAUCAGUUGACGCACAGCCUCCUUCUCUAUUUGGUUCAACAAAAUUACAACCAGAGUCACCAUUUUUGUUUCAUGUCAACAAAACUGAGGAUACGUCUGGACAGAAGGUGGAAGCUGUGUCUGAAAAGAGCAAGGACCCAUCACUAGGAGCCACAAGUGCCUCGUUUAAUUUUGGCAAGAAAAUUGAUAGUUCUGUUUUGGGCUCCUUAAAUUCGGGCCCCUUGACUGGAUUUUCAUUUUCUUCUGGAAAUUCCAGUUUAUUUGGCAAAGAUACUACCCAGAGUAAACCGGUUUCUUCACCAUUUUCCACUAAAACAUCGGAGAGCCAAGCAGAAAGUGGCGGCAACGAAUGCAAAGGUGGAGAUGAAGAAGAGAGUGACGAGCCACCGAAAGUAGUAGUUACUGAAGUAAAAGAAGACGAUGCUUUUUACUCCAAAAAGUGCAAACUGUUUUACAAGAAAGAAAAUGAAUUUAAAGAGAAGGGUGUGGGCACUCUGCAUUUAAAACCUACAGCGAAUCAGAAGACGCAGCUGUUAGUGCGGGCAGACACCAAUUUAGGCAACAUACUGCUCAACAUCCUGAUUGCACCCAGCAUGCCUUGCACCCGCACAGGGAAGAACAACGUGCUCAUCGUCUGUGUUCCAAACCCGCCCAUUGAUGAAAAGAACGCCGCCACCCCGGUUCCCAUGUUGAUUCGGGUGAAAACAAGCGAGGACGCGGAUGAGCUGCACAAAAUUCUGCUGGAGAAGAAGGAUGCCUGAGCAUGCUCGGCUGAGGAGCUGUCGCCAAGCUGCUGCUUCUCCCAGCGCCCUGAGCUUAGUGCCUUGGAUCACUUGUGCUGGAUGAGACCCAUUCCAGGCCAUUCAGGACUUUCUGUUGGAUUCCUGUUUUUCCAGUGCUUGCAGCAAACCUUCCAGACAUGGGCUCCUGGGUGGACUUUCCAAAGAAACGAGUUUGGGCAGCUGUUUCAGAUUCACAUCAAAUUCGAGGACCAGUGGGCUACAUCUGCAUUCCUGUAUGACUCUGUUUCAAGGUGACCUAUAAAAUGCCCUUUUGGCACAGUGAGCCUCACAGUUGCCUGGAACUACACCAGCUUUGUACAUGUCUCAGUCCAGCUUCACUGCGUCUGCGAAGGUAGGUGGCGGUUCUUCACAGGUCAGAAAACCCCAAGGAGAUGGAGCUUGUUGACGGAACAGCCACGUGGGGCUCCCUGCGCAGUGUGACUUGAAGGUAUGUGUGUGCCCAUUAAAGGACUAAGCUUCACUGGUUUCUGAAACUGUCUAAAAUAUUUUUAACAAAGUGAUUUAUUGAAAAUAUAAUCAACGUAUAAAAUAGGUAACUAAUGAGAGCCUACUGUUUAGCACAGGGAACCCUACAAUGAUGGGUGGUGACCUAAAUGGGAAAGAAAAUCUAUGAAGAGUGGAUAUGUGCACAUGUAUCAACUGAUUCUCUUUACAGCAGAAAUACAACACCGUAAAGCAAGUAUACUCCAAUAAAAAUUUUAAAAAUACCGCUAGUUUACCUAAAAACCAUGAUGUUUCAAAUGGAGCAGUCUAAUUGUUUUAUUGAAGUCAGGUUCCUUAAGCCACAAACAGGAAGGAAAUGUCUUUUUAAUAAGCCUGUUGGCUUACGUGGAGGCCAAGUCACGAGAGAACUGAAUGAAGCAGAAAGCAAAGGAAAAGACAUCUUUUGUCUGAUCAUCCCCAAAACACAUACUUUCCUUCCUCAUAGAAGUUUUCCAACCAUCCUGUCAUUUUAACAAUCAAGUGCAGAGUACAGUGUGUUCACACAUUCAACGUGUAUAUAUACAGUGAACCGUGGUACUGUAUGGAUUAUUAUACAUUUACCCCUCCUCCCGGUAGAAAAUUCCUCAAGGUUUUCCCUUCCAGUCAGCAUUCUUUUUCUAAGCUAGGGCAUGACAGUGGUUCCUAAAGUGCAUCUAUGUUAGCGUGAGAGAACGGAGAGAGGUAGCCUUCGAGAGCAGGCAGUUAGUACGGAUGCAGCUACCAGCUUCCAGGGUACAGACUUUGUCAAGAAAGUCAACAAGCAAAGGGGGUUGACUGGAUGAAAAGGAAGUGAAGUCACCUCUUACCUACUAAACUGCCGCCUCCUCAAGCACCAUCUGCACAUCUUCCUAGGUACAGGCUGCCCUUGGUGACGCCUGGCUCAUGUUUCUAAUGCAGUGACCUUCUGCGAGAUGUAGUGAUGAUCCCAUUUCCUGAUUGUAUGUGUUCCUCCUGACCACCCCCCCACCACACCCCACCUUUUGUUGUAACUUUUGUGGUGUCUUGGGCCUUCUGCCCAUCACCUGAUGACAUCGGAGAUCACCUAACCAUGGAAACAGCCCACCGCCUGAGUGGUUUCCUUCCGCAGACCCUGCUGGCGGAGUUGGCCUGCGGGGGCUGUGAACGUUCUCAGUGUCGACCUGACAGCUACAGGCUAGGAGGCAACAGAGCCAAAAACCAUCUUCCGGAUGACCAGUAGCUUGUUGGGAACCUGCCAGCACUUGAACUUGGGACUCCUGACUUUUAUUCCAGUCUUUUUCCCACUUCUCUGAGGGCCUUUUAAGAGGUUCUCUAGCAAAACCUUAGGGAAUUUUAUAGUAUAGCUGAAAGACUAUAUACUGCUUUAUAGGGGCCGAAAGCCGAACCUGCAGCAUAUCUAUGAUUUCAUUCUGCAAAUACAGCAUCUGAGCACAUUCCAGCUGCUGGCCUCCAGACCUCCCUGCUAACUCCCAGGCCCGCCAAAGCCAGGGCAUGCCUUCUUGUCAUUCAAUAGAGUAACUUGUAUGAAAGCUCCAAAGGCUAAGACAUCUCUGGGGGAAAAAAUUAAGAUUCAAUCAGCAAGUUAACACAUUGCAGUAGUAUCCAUAUUUAAUCCAAAACACCCUUUAGAGAAAAAAAUAACGGUACAGAUUCAAUAGAGAAGAAAUAAAUAAUACCCAACAUGCAAAUCAACUUUCAGAAGAAAUGCAAAGUCAUAAAGCACAGCUAACAGCCAACCACAAUUACUGCUUAGAAAUUAUUCCUAUUGUAUGUGGAAGAUGGUUAAUCCCGAAGCCACUGACAGUGCUUAUGGAAAUACCAGCGACAGAUCCUAAUACAGUCAAAAUAUGCCGUCAUGGUGUUUCUGCUAAAAUAUAUUUUGUAGAAAUCAUUUUAGUUGAGCCUCAAAGUCAUGAAAAACCACAGAUUUUCUUUGCAGGUUUACAUAUUGUCACACAUAGAAUUCGUUUGGAGACCAUAAAAGAUUACUAUUUACACCUAAAUCACCCAACCUUCAGGAAGUGGGGAAAUGAGAGACUGGAUACCCGCAGCGGAGCUGGAGCACCGCUGUGGGUUUUGAUCUGCUGAGUUCAGGGCUGGAGCCGCAGUUGCAAAGAUGCCCGCCUGCCUCGGGUAGGGUAGAAAACUGUAAACACAAACGCCUCCAAAAGGCCGGCUGCCUCCACUUCGGAGGCUCUACCCGCUGUGGACUCUGAACCCAGCCCCAGGCCACUCGGUGCUCAGGCGAUUUGGCUUCUGCGUGGUGCCCCGGGGUCAGAGGAAGGAAGGGCCGCAGGGCUCCUUUCCACCAAAGGGGCCACAUCAGCGCCCAGUCAGUCCGUGAGCAAGGACAAGGGCAAGAAGCCUCGGUGCCCCCAGCACCCAGCUCCCAAGAUGGGGCGGGACUCUGGCCGGAGAGGAGCCCUGCCCGAAGGACGGCUGAUGCCCCCGGAAGCCACUUCACUCCAGCUCUGGGGCUAGCACAGCAUCCCUGCUGGAGUCUGUCCCACUAGGGCAGAUACUUUCAAAGAGAAACAGCUCUGCUUUCUGAUACUCAGGAGAGAAAAGGCCUGAACAGGAAUAAUCCAUGUACUGUCAAAAGACACUUGGCUUUUGAAACUAAAUUCCAGCUACACUGGAAAACUGAACAGAAUUAUCAGAGUGGAACCUGUUACCAAGGUGUAUUGAAAAGUUGACAGUUUUAUCUGUAAAUCUUAAAAAUUUGGGCAGCAAUUUAAAAUGCCUGUAUUAUGAUAAUGUCAAAUAUGUUUUUCAAAUGUCAGUCAUCAAUACUAACUACAUAGGUACUUCCUCUGGAAUGUCUUUUAACAGAAAAAGAUAAUGAUGUUUUCACAUCAUUCUUCAAAAAUGUUUACUGACCAGUUUAUGUGAUUAAAACAGCAAAAACAGAUCCUGGUUUGAUUCUAGCUAGAGUCUUUGGAGAAAAACAAAUCACAUCAGGAACAUGCCUUUCUGUCAUUCGCAUCUUUGGUAGAAACCUAGUUGAUUUCCGAUGCUUUGCUCACAGUCCUUGAAAAGCCCAAAUGUUAGCAAGGCUCUGACUCACCCAUGCUAUCUCCAAGACGACUGGCUAUAGAAUACUUUGCUUCUCUUGGACAACUUCUCUGUUACCUAAUGUUUUAAAUGAUAUUUGUUUUAAAUAAUAUCCGUUUGAAGUAAGCCUCAGUUGUUUUCACAGACAACUGAAAAUUCCUUCUGUCAGACAUUGGAAUGGAGACUAAACGCUGCCUGAACCCUCAGGUGCUGGGAGAUGCAGAGACAGUGGCCUGGUCUGACUGCAGGACCAAGACAUAAUGUCCUUAGAAAGCCUAGAGGUUACAGGUUUCUUCAAGGGAACCCCGGACUUGAAUUCCAGUUCCCAUUUAAGAGAUGUUCACACGCUCUGGCCGCCUCCAUGUUACGUCGGGGCCAAGAGCCUUCAGACCGCAGAAGACCAGGAAGGAGAGGAGCCCAGGGAACACGCAACCCGUCUCAGGACCCUGGGCCAGGCCCCCGGCUCCCU